AGUGAACGCUGGCGGUAGGCCUAACACAUGCAAGUCGAACGGCAGCACAGUAAGAGCUUGCUCUUACGGGUGGCGAGUGGCGGACGGGUGAGGAAUACAUCGGAAUCUACUUUUUCGUGGGGGAUAACGUAGGGAAACUUACGCUAAUACCACAUACGACCUACGGGUGAAAGCAGGGGAUCUUCGGACCUUGCGCGAUUGAAUGAGCCGAUGUCGGAUUAGCUAGUUGGCGGGGUAAAGGCCCACCAAGGCGACGAUCCGUAGCUGGUCUGAGAGGAUGAUCAGCCACACUGGAACUGAGACACGGUCCAGACUCCUACGGGAGGCAGCAGUGGGGAAUAUUGGACAAUGGGCGCAAGCCUGAUCCAGCCAUACCGCGUGGGUGAAGAAGGCCUUCGGGUUGUAAAGCCCUUUUGUUGGGAAAGAAAAGCAGCAGGUUAAUACCCCGCUGUUCUGACGGUACCCAAGGAAUAAGCACCGGCUAACUUCGUG
RNAcentral lists this ribosomal RNA (492 nucleotides) under uncultured bacterium. RNAcentral describes it as "partial 16S ribosomal RNA". It matches the Rfam family "Bacterial small subunit ribosomal RNA", at positions 29 to 507 of the family's 1533-position model. The record is from RNAcentral.